Haliotis rubra (blacklip abalone) is the source of this 276-nucleotide long non-coding RNA. RefSeq lists it as uncharacterized. The transcript is spliced from 3 exons. The record is from RefSeq and is a predicted model, not a curated record. Lineage: Eukaryota; Metazoa; Mollusca; Gastropoda; Lepetellida; Haliotidae.
AGUCAGGUGGGUGGAGAAUGUAGGUGUUGAAUGUGGGUGGAGUCAGGUGGGUGGAGAAUGUAGGUGUUGAAUGUGGGUGGAGUCAGGUGGGUGGAGAAUGUAGGUGUUGAAUGUGGGUGGAGUCAGGUGGGUGGAGUAUGUAGGUGUUGAAUGUGGGUGGAGUCAGGUGGGUGGAGUAUGUAGGUGUUGAAUGUGGGUGGAGUCAGGUGGGUGGAGUAUGUAGGUGUUGAAUGUGGGUGGAGUCAGGUGGGUGGAGUAUGUAGGUGUUGAAUGUGG